UUAAAAAGCUCGUAGUUGAAUUUCGGGGUCAGUAGGUCGGUCGUGCCACUGGUAUGAACUGGUUUUACUGGUUCCUCCCUCUUGAAGAACUGUAAUGCCAUUAAUUUGGUGUUGCAGGGAAUCAGGACUGUUACUUUGAAAAAAUUAGAGUGUUUAAAGCAGGCUUUAGCUUGAAUACAUUAGCAUGGAAUAAUGAAAUAGGACGUUUGAUCCUAUUUUGUUGGUUUCUAGGAUUGACGUAAUGAUUAAUAGGGAUAGUUGGGGG
This 265-nucleotide ribosomal RNA is filed under the name uncultured Glomeromycotina. RNAcentral's name for it is "partial 18S ribosomal RNA". It matches the Rfam family "Eukaryotic small subunit ribosomal RNA", at positions 619 to 888 of the family's 1831-position model. Lineage: Eukaryota; Fungi; Glomeromycota. The record is from RNAcentral.